This is a regulatory RNA element of Streptomyces bingchenggensis BCW-1, 45 nucleotides long. It matches the Rfam family "L31-Actinobacteria ribosomal protein leader". Lineage: Bacteria; Bacillati; Actinomycetota; Actinomycetes; Kitasatosporales; Streptomycetaceae. The record is from Rfam.
UCGGCCCCGGUUCACGUCAGGCAACCCGCCUGUCGACCCGGUGCC